This 283-nucleotide long non-coding RNA is filed under the name Callithrix jacchus (white-tufted-ear marmoset). Its description in RNAcentral is "lncRNA (ENSCJAG00000055635.2)". Lineage: Eukaryota; Metazoa; Chordata; Mammalia; Primates; Cebidae. The record is from RNAcentral.
UGACAGUAGCCUCCUGCCUGCAGGGACUAACACAGCAUUACCUGAGGAAAUAGUAAUAUUGGUCUCCUUUCAGACAGUUGCCAUGCAAGAGGGUGCUGGUUCUCCUUGGCCUUUACCCGCUGGCCUUGAUGGUUUUAGACCUUUAACCAGACUUAAGUUCCAGCAGUCACCUAAAGGUCAAAUGAACAAAAGUUUAACUUGAAGAAUUUAAAGUCAUGGUCCUUCAAUCAGUUCUCAGACUUGAACCAGUUUAUAGACCCAGAACCCCUUGAAUGAAGGAGAG